RNAcentral lists this long non-coding RNA (671 nucleotides) under Homo sapiens (human). RNAcentral describes it as "HSALNT0391972". The record is from RNAcentral. Lineage: Eukaryota; Metazoa; Chordata; Mammalia; Primates; Hominidae.
AUAAUACUGUUUAUUGUCCACGGACCGAGCGAUUGCUCAAGAAUGAUACAAAGCAUCAGAGACAUGCGCAGUCUGCUUGUCAACUUUCAACAACUCUUGUGUGUUCCCAGCACCGGAAGGUCUCAGACUUCAUAUUCCAGCAUAAACACAGUGCUCCCCUCCCCCAAAAAUCCAAACGGAAACAAAAUCAACAGAGCUUUAAAUUACGGCAGCAAGUCCAAUAUUUCUUAAUACUUAUCAAGCAAAGAUUUGAAAAUAACUACAAUGUAAACUUUAUUUUAAAUAUUUUGAGUUGCUUGCAGGAUGAAAAUAGGAGAAGAGAGCUGUGCUUAGAACAUAACAUAUAAAUUAAACGAUGCCAAAUGGAGAGCCUUCUUAAACUAUAUAUAUAUUGCCACUAUUUAUUGUGAAGGUAUUUGAGCGGCUUCCUCUGUCAGCUGCCACCCGGCUCUUCUUAACCUGUUUUGUUUUCUGCUCAGCACGGUUAAAAGACCAACGUGUGUGGAUCAAAUAUAAAGGCCACACCUUUCAGACCGAACCUACUCAAAGAUCCUUUACUUUGCAAUAAUUUGAACUGGAGAACCAAAGACGGGAGACGAAUGAAAGCAAAGAUGCUCAAAGAACCAAAGGAAAGACCUGAAGGAAUCCACCUGCAUAGGCCACGCGUUCCA